AUUGAACGCUGGCGGAAUGCUUUACACAUGCAAGUCGAACGGCAGCACGGGGGCAGCCCUGGUGGCGAGUGGCGAACGGGUGAGUAAUGCAUCGGAACGUGCCCGGUCGUGGGGGAUAACGUAGCGAAAGUUACGCUAAUACCGCAUACGAUCUGAGGAUGAAAGCGGGGGACCUUCGGGCCUCGCGCGAUCGGAGCGGCCGAUGUCAGAUUAGGUAGUUGGUGGGGUAAAGGCCUACCAAGCCGACGAUCUGUAGCUGGUCUGAAAGGACGACCAGCCACACUGGGACUGAGACACGGCCCAGACUCCUACGGGAGGCAGCAGUGGGGAAUUUUGGACAAUGGGCGCAAGCCUGAUCCAGCCAUUCCGCGUGCAGGACGAAGGCCUUCGGGUUGUAAACUGCUUUUGUACGGAACGAAAAGGCUCUGGCUAAUACCUGGGGCUCAUGACGGUACCGUAAGAAUAAGCACCGGCUAACUACGUG
Molecule: ribosomal RNA, 484 nt
Filed under: uncultured bacterium
Lineage: Bacteria
Description: partial 16S ribosomal RNA
Rfam family: Bacterial small subunit ribosomal RNA
Source: RNAcentral